RNAcentral lists this transfer RNA (88 nucleotides) under Gammaproteobacteria bacterium. Its description in RNAcentral is "tRNA-Ser". It matches the Rfam family "tRNA". Rfam says of the family: Transfer RNA (tRNA) molecules are approximately 80 nucleotides in length. The record is from RNAcentral. Lineage: Bacteria; Pseudomonadati; Pseudomonadota; Gammaproteobacteria.
GGAAGAGUGUCUGAGUGGUUUAAGGUGCUUGCUUGGAAAGUAAGUGUGGGGAAACCCACCGUAGGUUCGAAUCCUAUCUCUUCCGCCA